AAUGUAUGAGUGACAGCACAGAAUGGCUUGAAAACUUCUUUGGCCAUCUGGCUUAUCUCGUUAUGCAAUCGGUGGUUUGAAAAUCUUCUAUUUCUGUUCCACUUAAUCCCAAACAACUGUUUUGCGUGUAUCGUUGUUACCUCCAAAAUGUUAAACAAGUUUAGUUUGCGCAGAUUCGAUUGGGUUAUCUUGGUUAACACGGUGAAGACUUGAUUUCAUGAUGAAUGAACAGCUCUCGGGCGCUCAGCACGCACGCGCGAGCAUCACUGGCUCAGAAACCACGCGGAGACACGGAGAGAGCACAGCGCUCAAGUGAGCGAUUUCAAUCCACACCUUUCAGUCACUACUGGCAUACGGCUCCGUGCCUGUAUUUCGGAAACGCAAACGUUCAUCCUCCCGCCGGCGGGUUGGCUUCUCAGUCAAGAAAGUCUGUGGACAGGGCUCAAACAUGAACCAAAGCGCAGGAGCAGCGCAGCACAGUCGGAGAUACUCCAGUGAUGACAAGGAUGCUGGGCCUAUUGCAACAGAUUGGAACUGGAAGGGCAUCGGUAUCGCCCUCUUUGUUAUUCUGGUAGUGCUUUCCCUCAUUGGACUAUCGAUUGUUCUGCUAUCAAAAGAAGACCGUGGAAAUUGUUUGGGAUCACAGUUGACACUGGAUGACAUCUUCCAAAGGAACUUCCAAAUACAAGAUCCUGAAGCAAAGUGGAUCAGUGAAAAAGAAAUCAUCUUUCGAAACUGGGAUGGAGACUUAUUGAAAAUUAACACAGAGAUCAACCAGACACAGCUCCUGCUGAAAAACACAACUUUUUCCACCUUUAAAGCCUCAAAGUUUGCAGUUUCUCCAGACCUGAACUUUAUUCUUCUGGGAUAUGAUGUCAAGCAGGUGUAUCAACACUCUUUCUUGGCAUCGUACCUAAUCUACAACCUGUAUACAAGGGAAGUGCUGGAGCUAAAUCCUCCAGAAGUCUCCAAUUCAGUCCUCCAGUUUGCUUCUUGGGGUGUUGGUGGUCAGCAGCUGAUAUACAUAUUUGAAAACAACAUUUACUACCAAUCAGAUGUUCAGAGCAGCUCUUGGAGACUCACAUCAUCUGGACAGGAGGGGGUCAUUUUCAACGGCAUUGCAGACUGGCUAUAUGAAGAGGAGGUUUUGCACACUCAAACAGCUCACUGGUGGUCACCUGAUGGCUCAAGACUUGCUUACCUGACCAUCAAUGACUCCCUAGUCCCAAACAUGCUCCUGCCAUGUUACAUGGGUUCUAUUUAUCCAAGGGGGAAAGAGUACCCAUACCCAAAGAUGGGUCAAAUCAAUCCCACUGUAAGCCUUUAUGUUGUAAUUCUUGAUGGCAGCUCCCAAACAACUAAACUGUUACCACCGGACAGUCUCGUAAAGAGUCCAUACUACAUCACUAUGGUGAAAUGGGUGACAGUGGACAAGCUUGCUGUGCGCUGGUUAAAUCGGGCACAAAACAUGUCCAUUCUUACACUCUGUGUCAUAUCCACUAAUAAAUGCACAAAGAUACAAGUGAUGAUGUCAGAUAAGUGGCUCGAUCGACAGAAUGAAGAGCCAAUGUUUUCAAAGGACUGUACGAUAUUCUUCACGACGCUGCCAAUAAAACACGUUGUACUUGGAGCAUUCCACCACGUGACCAUGAUCUCCAACCAAGGAGAUGACAUCAAACUUCGCCCCUUGACUUCAGGAAGCUGGGAGGUCUCCCAAAUUCUGGGCUAUGAUGAGAGCACUAAAUCUGUUUACUUCCUAAGCAAAGAGACUGGCACAGCACAACAACAGUUAUACAGGGUCUUAGCUGUGGAACCGUUUCAUAAACAAUGCCUCACCUGCUCCCUCUUCAAGUCACAGUGUACUUACUAUGAUGCUGUGCUCAGUACAAACUAUCAGCAUGUUCUUCUCCAAUGUAGAGGCCCUGGAAUACCCCAAACUACUCUGCACAGAUUCAAUAAAAUGAAAGACUAUAUGACUCUGGAGAAGAACACAGUAUUACAACACGCUCUGAUCAACCGGAAAUUACCAAAACGGGAAAAAAGAACUGUACAAAUCAACAAUGUUGCUCUUCCUAUGGAGUUAAUUGUCCCCAAUGAUUUUGAUGAAACGUAUAAGCAUCCACUUCUCCUUAUUCUUGGCAGCGCCCCCGGUGGUCAGACUGUGAGUGACCGCUUCAGCAUCAAUUGGGAUUCAGUGCUUAUCAGUUUGGAGAACGUCAUCGUGGCUCGUGUGGACGGUCGAGGCAGCAGCUUCCAGGGCCAGAGGGUCCUGCAAGAGGUCCACCGGCGACUGGGCACUGUUGAUGUUGCGGACCAGAUCGCAGCUGUACAAAACCUCAUCAAGCUCCCAUACAUCGAUGGGACUAAAGUCGCAGUUUAUGGAAAGGCAUAUGGGGGAUUUCUUACAUCGAUCCUAUUACUCUCCUUCAGCUCAACUUUCAGCUGUGGAAUCGUGGUCGCUCCAAUAGUAAAUUGGAGAUUUUAUGGGUCUGCUCUCACUGAGAAAUAUUUUGGAUAUCUGCCGAAAGAAGAUCCCAAGUACCAGGUCGUGUUAUGCUGUAGCUUUUCUUGGAAAGGAAUUGUCAUUAUUCAGUGAAACAUUGUUUAAUUCCCUAAAUCUAAACCCAAAUGUAUUUACACCCUGUCUAAUUUGAUCUGGUGAAUGGCUGUCUCCUGUCUGGAAACGGCUCAAGAAAGUAGCCAAAGACUGAACAUUGUGGCGUGUUAAAGAUGUGUGUGGGUCAUACAAAUACAUAACAGGAAAAAGCAAUCCAUGAUGGCAUGCGAUAUUACUGCAUCUGUUGCAGUCUUUUCAAAAGACGGCGUGGGGCUUUGAAUGCGGGCUUAUUAAUGCUGUGGUGAUGACCGCUUGAUUCAUUUGAUUCCGAGAAAUAUGAAUUUCCCUUUGAGAAAACCACAUAGGAGGCAGCACAAGCCGGUCAAGGCUCGAGUAUACAGUAUAUGCACCUCGACCUAUCCCGGUAGAGCAGCGCAUCCUCGAUUACAUUUUUAAUCGGAAUGAAAUGUAUUAUACUCAUAAUGGGAAACAAUUAUGACAAUGUUUGUGUUUGCGAGGUAUCGCUUCACUUCUAAAUAAAACUGGUUUGUUCCCCGGGAAGAAAAAAAAUGGAUCAAAUAAAUGUGGCUAGAACUGAUUUGGAGCACUACAAUAACAUAAUGUAGUGAAAGAACCUUGUGAAAUAGAGAACUACGGUAUAUUAUGUUUAAUAUUUUAGUUGGAGAUGCACUAAAAAUGUUGCCAUACAGGGGAAACACUUUCUUCUUUCUUUUUAUUUUUUUGUUCGUCCAUGAAUAAACAAUCUGUGUCCGAAUUUUGACCCCAUUAGGGAUGUCGCUAAUGGUGUCCGUUUGAGAGUUUGACAGCAAAAAAGUCGAAUACCUAACGUUAAUACUGAUGUUAAAAUCGUAAACAAGGUUUUGAUUGAACUUUUUAUCAUUUUUUUGACCUCAAGGGGCAAUAUUGUACCAGUCAUUAUUUUGUCUGCAUGUCUGUAUGCGGAGGUGGAAAGUUUAAAGAUGAAUUGAUUUGAGUGCCGACGGUUGUUUGUUUCUAUGUGCCCUGCGAUUGGCUGGCGACCGAUUCAGGGUGUACCCCGCCUCCCGCCCGAUGAUCGCUGGGAUAGGUUCCAGCACGCCCGCGACCCUACUGAGGAUAAGCGGUUUCAAGUCUGCUCAGUAACAUCACAGGACAAGUAAGAUCACAGGACAAGUUGAAAUUUCUUAUCAUCCAUGGCACAGCAGAUGCUACUGUUCAUUUCCAGCACUCUGCUGAGUUGAUCAAACUCCUG
Phyllopteryx taeniolatus (common seadragon) is the source of this 3809-nucleotide RNA transcript. It is a transcript of the gene named inactive dipeptidyl peptidase 10-like, with no coding region annotated. The transcript has 25 exons. The record is from RefSeq and is a predicted model, not a curated record. NCBI's taxonomy places the organism in Eukaryota, Metazoa, Chordata, Actinopteri, Syngnathiformes, Syngnathidae.